This is a long non-coding RNA of Etheostoma cragini (Arkansas darter), 3524 nucleotides long. RefSeq lists it as uncharacterized. The transcript has 3 exons. The record is from RefSeq and is a predicted model, not a curated record. NCBI's taxonomy places the organism in Eukaryota, Metazoa, Chordata, Actinopteri, Perciformes, Percidae.
UCUUGUCUAGUUGUUUUAUGUAAAUGUACAUGGAUCAACAGUUGAUUAUAACUCCGGCGGCAGUGAAAUGCUGCUUGAAUGCAUCCCUCCAUGAAUGCUGAAGCCUGAAUAAUCACUUCUUCGGCUGUGAAAAGAACACAGAGCAUUUCCUUAUGUCUGCACUCCAUAGUUAGCUGGAGCCUUUUCCUCGUGAGAUUCAGGCUGAAAACCAUCACCGCUGUCCUGAUGCACCAGAUUCGUUGGUCAACAAAGAGCUAUCUGAGAAGUGUAAUUGGAAACUGUUUGGAAAAGGGCAUGCUCUUUCACAAGAAUACCUGACAGCUGAUUGGAUGAACCAUCUGUCUAUCACGUCCGCCACUGUUGUUUUGACUGAACAGUCGCGGGUGUCACACACACCCCCCUAAACCACGCCCGUAGCUGCCCUGCUCCUCACCGGACGCUGAUUGGUUCGGUAAGCUGGUAUCUCCGACACAAACGCAUUACAUGAAGCCUGACAAGACAGAUUUUUUGGGUGAUUCUAACAGGAUCUUGUGUUGUCGCGAGAAUUCAGCUGCCGGACAACCCUAACAUCGGUGCGCCAGUGUUGCGGAAAAAUCUAAUAAACACCUGAUCAUCAGUGAACAUCUGGCCUCAAAAUCCCUUCCUUCCUAAGAUCUGUCAGCGCCGGAGACCACAGCAGUCUGUUCAGUUUGUUCCACAGUCAUCUCUCCUGGAUCAGUUAACCGUUUUUUUUUCUCUUCCUUUGAAGGAUUCCGUCCUUUAAGUUACUCAGCUAAUUAUGUGAUAUCAGUCGUUCACUCAUAUUUGCUUCAACAAUGCCUGGUGUAUUACUGGAGUAACUGCUUCCUUUUGGUCCGAUGAAGUCUUGGAUAGUUAUUCUGCUGGGGCAGAACAGGGGAGAAAAAAACAGAAAUCCUUCAUUCCAUGGAUUCUGUCAUCCGGGCAUUUAAAAAGACUGGGUUGGGGCCAGAAUGUGGACUAAGUAGGACAAGAACUGUAUGUCACUGCAUGUUGUCGCUACUGCCAUUUUUUUCUUGAUUUUCUGGCGGUUCACUGAUCUGGAAUUUCCAGAUCCAUGAACCGGCCGUGUCUCCAAUACCGCAGUGUUUUUAUGAAGGCUUUUAGUAGUUUCUUCUUCUUCUUCUUCUUCUUCAGUGCUAUUAGCAUAUCAAGCACCCAACAAAUUGGUCAAAUACUGUACUGAAUCCUUAUUCUUUUUAUUUCCAUAUCAUCUUAGUAGACAGUAUUAUAUAAUGCAGUAUCAAAUGCUAUAUGAUUUAAGGAAGAUUUUCCUUUUUGUUGUCUGAGAGUGACAGUAAGUCAGUAUAGCAGCCCACACAGCAUAGAGCCAGUCUGUUAUGUUUAACUGUAUCAUAGCUGUAAAUAUAUUGUCCAUCUGAACCUUUUAAUAAGGGGAAACGUCAGAAAUGAGUUAUUGUCAUGAAGACAGUUACAUCACUUUAGACUAUUCAUUAGGCCAUUCCUUAUUAUCAGCUCUCUGCCUAGGCUGAAAUUAGUCGCCAAUAAGGCAACAAUUAUCUCUUGCUGCAUUGCACACUUUGUAUUAAAAUGAUGUGAGCAGUUUCUUUUGUAACAGUCUUAUACAUUACAGUCAGUACAUUACCUCACUUUGGUCACAGUUUUAAGCAUUCCGUCCACCACAGAUCUUUACCAUGUCAUUUUUAGUCUCAUUAUUUCUAGUACCUCAAGAGUCUUGUACCUUUUAAGUAGAAAUGCAAAACAAUUCCACAGUAACAAGUUUAGACCUUAGGGUGUACAUAUUCUUCUAAGAUGGACUGUUUUCUAAAUAUUUUAUAAUUGACAAGCCAUCCUUAUGUAUGUGUACAUAAUUAUAGGCUUAUGAAUGUGAAACCCCAUCCCAGAACAGAGUUCAUACAUGUUGUUUCCAUGUGAACAUGAACACAAGCUACUGACAGUGAACUUGAAGGCUCCUGGUCGAUGUGUUCAAGAUCCAAUAAUGUAUCAGGUGAAUUCUGUUUUGUGGUUGACCAACGUGCAGAAGUCAGGCUCUUUGCACGAUGGCCACCUUGCACAUGUUUUCUGUAUUAUAUCCUCCUUUGGAAAUGAUGUUUCAAAGUGGAAACGUUUAAAGCCAUUCUGUAGUCAGUAUUGAAGAUUUCACUGACAGCCAUUGGCAUUGGAUCAGUAUUUCUUACACUACCCAACAUAGGACGCACACCUGUUAUUUGAUGGGUAAUCUUGAGAUUUUUUUUUUCUCGCCCAGAUAUGAUGAGAUGCAGUGGGCUGGGCUUGUCUAGUAUUUUCUCUGAUAUUUUUGUCAUUUAAACAAUGAGCUUCAAGGCAAGAAAACCAAAGAUGAAUGCUUUGAUAUAUUGGCUUUCUUGAAUCUAAAUAUGGAAGAUAAGUCACAACUAACCUAUUUGAUUUGAAAAGAUCUUUUAUAUUUCCAAAGUUCCUUAGAGUGGAACGUAUAUUAUAUACCGAACAAAAGAUAGACCAACCCAUCCAGCAAAGGCCUGAAAGAUCUCCCAGGAGCUUAUAAAAUCGAUAAAUCAGAACAAAAUAAUAUGCAAUUAAAAGUUGCUAGUGUUCAUAUAUUUAAUUACUUACACAUAGAAGUAUGUACACGCUUUAGACAGGGCUGCAGUGAAGAAAUAAUUGUUACUUUCAAAUGUGAAUUGUCUAUUUCUGAUCCAUUUUCAUCAGCCUCUACCAUUUUCUCCAUCAGAUUUUGCUCAAACGGCUAACGUCAUCAUCCUCUAUAUUAUAUUUACUCUUGAAUGUUGAAUAUCAAAAAUGUGCGCCAAAUGUUUUAUAUUCGGUGAUACUUUGAGUUUUUAUUAUGGACUUGAUACAGUAUAAAUAUUGCAGCUGGUUCUGUGAGAAUAUUUUAAAACUGGAAAAUGAACUCUCCGAUAAUGACCGUCUCAAUGCUAAGUUGUUACCAAAUUUCAUAUUUGUUUGUUUUGGUGUGAAACAGACGCCAGACCAGAUUGCUAGUUAACAGCUCAUGGGUAUUGCCUCCAAGAGUGUAAACCUAUCUUCACAGGCUAACAGAUGCAUUAUUUGCUUGCUCUCAGGGGCUGAACACUUAAGGACCAAGCGAGCUAGCUUGCAAUGAAGUUUGUAGUUAGCAUUGCUAGCUAAUAAAUGGCUAAGAUAGUAGAGGUUUGGCUAGCAGCAACAAAUUCACUUUUUCACUUUGUACACACUUGCUUCGCUGUGUACAGUAACACAUAAGAAUAUUAUAUGACAAAAACAAGUACGACACAACCCUGUAUACUACUGUAUAUGUGAAUGACACACAUUUUGAAUCAGGCACUGGGCUAGCUUGCGGUUAGCUGCAACCAGUUCUGUUCAGCGGUACAGCUUGGUUAGGCCGGAUCCCUGAGCAAGACCCGGCCAUUAGUAGAGGCCAGACAGGUCAGGAGACCAGACCAAAACUAGUCCUAAACAACCACAGUGGUUCCAUCCUGGGUUCAGCUUGUCCAGCUCCACCUUACAUUUACACAAACUUUGUACAGUAGUUAUGUCAGUAGCUA